UAAGUUGUGUAGUAAAUAUUCAGAGGUUC
This 29-nucleotide non-coding RNA is filed under the name Mus musculus (house mouse). Lineage: Eukaryota; Metazoa; Chordata; Mammalia; Rodentia; Muridae. The record is from RNAcentral.